UAUUCUAAAACUUUCAACAACGGAUCUCUUGGUUCUGGCAUCGAUGAAGAACGCAGCGAAAUGCGAUAAGUAAUGUGAAUUGCAGAAUUCAGUGAAUCAUCGAAUCUUUGAACGCACAUUGCGCCCCUUGGUAUUCCGAGGGGCAUGCCUGUUCGAGC
Molecule: ribosomal RNA, 158 nt
Filed under: Saccharata proteae
Lineage: Eukaryota; Fungi; Ascomycota; Dothideomycetes; Botryosphaeriales; Saccharataceae
Description: 5.8S ribosomal RNA
Rfam family: 5.8S ribosomal RNA
About the family: 5.8S ribosomal RNA (5.8S rRNA) is a component of the large subunit of the eukaryotic ribosome. It is transcribed by RNA polymerase I as part of the 45S precursor that also contains 18S and 28S rRNA. Functionally, it is thought that 5.8S rRNA may be involved in ribosome translocation.
Source: RNAcentral